GCUCAGGAUGAACGCUAGCGGGAGGCCUAACACAUGCAAGCCGAGCGGUAGAGAUUCUUCGGAAUCUUGAGAGCGGCGUACGGGUGCGGAACACGUGUGCAACCUACCUUUAUCAGGGGGAUAGCCUUUCGAAAGGAAGAUUAAUACCCCAUAAUAUAUUUGAUGGCAUCAUUAGAUAUUGAAAACUCCGGUGGAUAGAGAUGGGCACGCGCAAGAUUAGAUAGUUGGUGAGGUAACGGCUCACCAAGUCCAUGAUCUUUAGGGGGCCUGAGAGGGUGAUCCCCCACACUGGUACUGAGACACGGACCAGACUCCUACGGGAGGCAGCAGUGAGGAAUAUUGGACAAUGGGUGAGAGCCUGAUCCAGCCAUCCCGCGUGAAGGACGACGGCCCUAUGGGUUGUAAACUUCUUUUGUAUAGGGAUAAACCUUUCCACGUGUGGAAAGCUGAAGGUACUAUACGAAUAAGCACCGGCUAACUCCGUGCCAGCAGCCGCGGUAAUACGGAGGGUGCAAGCGUUAUCCGGAUUUAUUGGGUUUAAAGGGUCCGUAGGCGGACUCGUAAGUCAGUGGUGAAAUCUCAUAGCUUAACUAUGAAACUGCCAUUGAUACUGCGGGUCUUGAGUAAGGUAGAGGUAGCUGGAAUAAGUAGUGUAGCGGUGAAAUGCAUAGAUAUUACUUAGAACACCAAUUGCGAAGGCAGGUUACCAUGUCUUAACUGACGCUGA
RNAcentral lists this ribosomal RNA (727 nucleotides) under Chryseobacterium sp. CI36. RNAcentral's name for it is "bacterial SSU rRNA". It matches the Rfam family "Bacterial small subunit ribosomal RNA", at positions 22 to 749 of the family's 1533-position model. The record is from RNAcentral. Lineage: Bacteria; Pseudomonadati; Bacteroidota; Flavobacteriia; Flavobacteriales; Weeksellaceae.